RNAcentral lists this ribosomal RNA (452 nucleotides) under uncultured Acetomicrobium sp. RNAcentral describes it as "bacterial SSU rRNA". It matches the Rfam family "Bacterial small subunit ribosomal RNA", at positions 521 to 973 of the family's 1533-position model. The record is from RNAcentral. Lineage: Bacteria; Thermotogati; Synergistota; Synergistia; Synergistales; Acetomicrobiaceae.
UAAUACGUAGGAUCCGAGCGUUGUCCGGAGUUACUGGGUAGUAAAGGGUGCGUAGGCUGUUCUGUGCGUCAGAGGUGAAAUCCACGGGCUUAACUCGUGGGUGCCUUUGAUACGGCAGGGCUUGAGUACGAGAGAGGUGCGUGGAAUUCCUGGUGUAGCAGUGAAAUGCGUAGAUAUCAGGAGGAACACCGGUGGCGAAGGCGGCGCACUGGCUCGUAACUGACGCUGAGGCACGAAAGCGUGGGGAUCAAACAGGAUUAGAUACCCUGGUAGUCCACGCCUUAAACGAUGCAUGCUUGGUGUUGGUCUCGCAAGAGAUCAGUGCCGUAGUUAACAUGAUAAGCAUGCCACCUGGGGAUACGAUCGCAAGGUUGAAACUCGAAAGGAAUUGACGGGGGCCCGCACAAGCGGUGGAUCAUGUGGUUUAAUUCGAUGCAACGCGAAGAACCUUA